Molecule: non-coding RNA, 251 nt
Organism: Paramuricea clavata
Lineage: Eukaryota; Metazoa; Cnidaria; Anthozoa; Malacalcyonacea; Plexauridae
Source: the annotation of a GenBank genome assembly
CCGGUUUCUUCUUAUAAAAACUUAGGUAGGGUAGGUCGGUUUUAACUUUUUUUUAAACUUUUUUUUUAUUUUCCGAACAACUGGCGCCAUUUUGUUUAGUCAGUGCUUCCACAUCCAAAGAUAAAUUUCCCUAAUAUUGCCUCAAAUUUCAAUUUUCCACAAACUUUUUCCUCUAAGUGGAAACACUUACAAGCAUGAUCCAAUAAAAAAGUUUAGGGUCGGGAUUUCGACGUCCAAAAGCUGGGUAGGGU